RNAcentral lists this long non-coding RNA (1267 nucleotides) under Homo sapiens (human). RNAcentral describes it as "non-protein coding INTS6-AS1:39". The record is from RNAcentral. Lineage: Eukaryota; Metazoa; Chordata; Mammalia; Primates; Hominidae.
GUCCGCGCGCGCGGGGCGGCCGCGGCGGUGAGCCUGCGCGUCAGGGCCGCCGGCCUCUCCUUGGCUGUUGGAGGUGAUAGGGGUCGAGGGGAGGGAAAAAGGGGCUGGCGUCAGCCGCCCCUGUGAGGUGGCCGUAGCGUGGACGAGUAAGAAGGGUUGAGUAAAGUGGACAAACACCUGGUUAGGAGAAGAGGGCAGGCCCGCAGCCGCCCUCCGGAGGAGGACUCGGGGCCUCGCGGGCGCCGGAGGAGGUUCCUGGGCCUCGGAGGGCCGCCCCGGCGCGCCGCCCCGGCGCGAGCGGGCGCGGGCGGGGGAGGGGAAGUGAGAGGUUGUUUAUGACCGGGGACUAAUCUCCUCCGCGAGUCCCAGCGCUCCCUCUGGGGAGUGCGGUUGAGGGGCUGUCCUCGCACGGAGCCUCGCUCGGCCUCGGGGGAGCCACGAGAGGUGGGAGUUGGACCCGCAGCGGGCCAGGAGCCCUGUCAUUGGAGGACCCGCCAAAAAGGAAGCAAACCCUCUUUUUCUUUAUCCAACCCCAAAUAGCUAGGGCCUAGGGGGAAGACUCACAUAUCGAUAAAUGGUUUGUUGCCCGUUUUAUUCUCUGGGAAAUACAACUGAUCUUACCAAAGAAAUAACCUGUCUCUUGCCGUGUUUACUUAGAGCCAUAGAAUACCUGUUUCAGAGCUGAAGGGGACCUGAGCCCAUGAUAAUCCAUUACCUCGUGAGAAAGCGGAAAAACUGACUUCAGCUUGCCCAGAUGGCGCAGAGAAUGGGUUUCCCGUAACCCCGCCUGUGUCUUUCCUUCAGCCUCGUCCCAAAUGCCGUGGGAGGGAAGGCACUCUCUGUCAAGCUGCUGUCACCUUACCUGAAGUAAGGAGUCCACGCCUGCAUGUCCGAGGAAAACAGUUUUCUCAAACACAUUAGUUGAAAAACUGAAGACGCUGCCUAAAAUACAAGCUGAGUUAGAGACAGCCCUUGUAAGACUAGGAAAGGCCUUGUGAGGACAUAACCAGGAAGAGAGUCCUCACCAGAACCUGACCAUACCUGCACCCUGAUCUCAAGCUUCCAGCUUCCAGAACCAUGAGAAAUCAAUGUUUGUUGUUUUAGCCACCCAGUCUACAGAAAUUUGUUAUAGCCACCCUAGCUGACUACCACAUUGGACAUCACAGCAAACACUACAACCAGUAAGUCUCUGCUUGUAUUAACUGGAACAUUUCCAAAGCCUGUCCUACUCAGGAUAAAUGCACAAAAGAAAAAUUAGUAGUUGACG